This 406-nucleotide ribosomal RNA is filed under the name uncultured bacterium. RNAcentral's name for it is "partial 16S ribosomal RNA". It matches the Rfam family "Bacterial small subunit ribosomal RNA", at positions 30 to 526 of the family's 1533-position model. The record is from RNAcentral.
AUUGAACGCUGGCGGCAGGCCUAACACAUGCAAGUCGAACGAGUGGCGGACGGGUGAGUAAUGUCUGGGAAACUGUCUGAUGCAGGGGGAUAACUACCGGAAACGGUAGCUAAUACCGCAUACCAUCAGAUGUGCCCAGAUGGGAUUAGCUAGUUGGUGGGGUAACGGCUCACCAAGGCGACGAUCCCUAGCUGGUCUGAGAGGAUGACCAGCCACACUUGAACUGAGACACGGUCCAGACUCCUACGGGAGGCAGCAGUGGGGAAUAUUGCACAAUGGGGGCAAGCCUGAUGCAGCCAUGCCGCGUGUAUGAAGAAGGCCUUCGGGUUGUAAAGUACUUUCGGCGGGGAGGCGUUACCCGCAGAAGACGCGCCGGCUAACUCCGUGCCAGCAGCCGCGGUAAUAC